CUCCAAAGUUGAUAUCAGAUUUUCGCCCCUGCUCUAGGCUGUAAAUGGCAGUGAAUAAUGUAAUUUGAAUAACGGCGCAAAAGUCCUGUCAUUUGAACAUUUAAUUCAAUUUAUUCCAUAUAGGUCAGUUGUGGGUCUACUCUCAACAGUUUAUAAGGUCUAGAAAGGCAUUGUAGCAGGCCAGUCUGGCUGUAAUUUUACUUCUGAUAUUGAGAUGCGCUGUUUGUUGCAGAUCAUAAUUCUCCCAAGUCGUCCUUUAAUAAUGUGGCUCCCAGCAGGCCCAGUUAUUCAGGAAAGCUUCAUGCGCACCUAGGACCUGCUUCAAUAGUCCGCAACAGUGGACACGUCAUAAUACCCAUAAAAACACGGAAAUGGUCACAAUGGUUUUUCUGCCAUUCCUUUUUCACAUCGUGAAUAUUACAACAAAUUCUAAUAAAUUGUAUGUUUGGUGUAGGCUUACCUUGGCGUGACAUUUUGAUAGCCGUGUAAUUCUCUCUUGGACAAGGUAGGUUUUGUCAAUAUUUUCACCUCAAUUUACUCUAAAAAAAUGUGCAAUGCUAAUUAUUGAUAAAAGUAAAAUAUUUGCGCGGUUAUCAAAACGUAAUGACAGGGUAAACCUACAUGAAACACAGACCUUAUAUACAGUAGUUCUAAAAUCCCAUAUGGAAAAAUGAAUGGUGAAAUAACGAUUGAAACCAUUUUCCGGGUUUUAUGACUCAUACGGUGGUACUCCAUAUAGCCAAGCCUUCAAUAUUGGGGACAAGCCGGCUUUGAUCGUAGUGUAAUGACACAGGCAGAGAGAGUGAGUGGUCGAAGAACCAUCAACCUUCUGGCCCGUAACCCUGUGUGGCAUCAAUUGUGCCACUACAAAAACAUGCUGAAGUGGAAAAGUCGAUAUCCACAUUUAUAAACACAAGUGCCGGGGUCAGCGGAGCUCCCAAGUGACCAGCGACAGGGCCAACAGCCAACUGACUGCCUUCUCUACUCUGACCUCCCUUCGUUAGUAACCCCCUCCCUGGGCUUCUCCUCAGACCUGGGGCUGCUAGGGGGACCUAUUUGUGGUCCGCCACUCGUCUGAGGGGAAGGGGAUAGAGACUGAAGGAACAACAGCUGCUGAUGGGGACAUCACGCUUCCCAUGGAAGAGCAGCAUCCUCCUGAGAGAAGGUGCUGUAAUCUGCAAUAAUCGAAUUCUCAGACAUGCAUGAUAGCCAUAGUAUGUCUCGAAGCCACAUUGUACGUGAGUGAACACAUGACAUUGAACAUAUUGACACAUGACGUCGUGUGAUCUAUAUUGUAUUUACAAAAACAAUCAACAGUGCAAGUCAUAUGAUGAUCUUACAUGGAAAGCUCUUGAAAACGUUCACAGACACACACAAACAGAGAUAUAAAAGCAGUGUUAAAUAGACAAAGUGUUAUUAAAUGUAUUUUGUGUAAAGAGAAUCUUCUGGGGUGCCAGAGGAAUGCAAAGAAUUGUAGGCACUUUUUUCUGACAUGGUAUAGUGAUGCCAUCUAGAGUUGCAAUGUGUAACAUUCACACACAGCAAAGAGCCCAGUGGGUUCACUAGUAGCAAUACAAGGUGACAUCAUCUGUCUGAUAAACAGUCUUGUCUGUUUAAUAAUUUAUUUAAUAAAGUGUUAUUUACUUAAUUGACUUAAUUUUGAGUGAAUCUGGAUUCUGCUUAUUCCACAUAUUCAACUUGGUUCAAAAAAAUCAUACAUGU
Molecule: long non-coding RNA, 1722 nt
Filed under: Salmo salar (Atlantic salmon)
Lineage: Eukaryota; Metazoa; Chordata; Actinopteri; Salmoniformes; Salmonidae
Description: lncRNA (ENSSSAG00000094530.1, ENSSSAG00000096755.1)
Source: RNAcentral